This 253-nucleotide ribosomal RNA is filed under the name uncultured bacterium. RNAcentral describes it as "partial 16S ribosomal RNA". It matches the Rfam family "Bacterial small subunit ribosomal RNA", at positions 524 to 776 of the family's 1533-position model. The record is from RNAcentral.
UACAGAGGUCCCGAGCGUUGUUCGGAUUCACUGGGCGUAAAGGGUGCGUAGGUGGCAUAGAAAGUUUGAUGUGAAAGCUCAGGGCUUAACCCUGAAAUGGCAUUGAAUACUGCUGUGCUGGAGGUUUGGAGGGGGGACUGGAAUUCUUGGUGUAGCAGUGAAAUGCGUAGAUAUCAAGAGGAACACCAGUGGCGACGGCGAGUCCCUGGACAACACCUGACACUGAGGCACGAAAGCUAGGGGAGCAAACAGG